RNAcentral lists this ribosomal RNA (480 nucleotides) under uncultured bacterium. Its description in RNAcentral is "partial 16S ribosomal RNA". It matches the Rfam family "Bacterial small subunit ribosomal RNA", at positions 28 to 523 of the family's 1533-position model. The record is from RNAcentral.
GAUGAACGCUGGCGGCGUGCUUAACACAUGCAAGUCGAACGGACCCUCUGAUCUUUUGGUUGGUUGGUUAGUGGCGAACGGGUGAGUAACACGUGAGUAACCUGCCCUUCUCUUCGGGAUAACUGUCGGAAACGGUGGCUAAUACCGGAUAUUCAUAUGCUGUCGCAUGGUGGUGUGUGGAAAGAUUUUUUGGUGGGGGAUGGACUCGCGGCCUAUCAGCUUGUUGGUGAGGUAGUGGCUUACCAAGGCUUUGACGGGUAGCCGGCCUGAGAGGGCGACCGGCCACACUGGGACUGAGAUACGGCCCAGACUCCUACGGGAGGCAGCAGUGGGGAAUAUUGCACAAUGGGCGGAAGCCUGAUGCAGCGACGCCGUGUGCGGGAUGACGGCCUUCGGGUUGUAAACCGCUUUCAACUGUGACGAAUUUGACGGUAGCAGUAGAAGAGGCACCGGCUAACUACGUGCCAGCAGCCGCAGUAA